Diabrotica virgifera virgifera (western corn rootworm) is the source of this 1307-nucleotide long non-coding RNA. RefSeq lists it as uncharacterized. The transcript has 2 exons. The record is from RefSeq and is a predicted model, not a curated record. NCBI's taxonomy places the organism in Eukaryota, Metazoa, Arthropoda, Insecta, Coleoptera, Chrysomelidae.
UCUUUUAUCUUUUAUCUAUUAAAUUAAAUCAUCAUCAAUGACCACUGGGCACUGACACCCCAUGGAGGGCCAUGGUCGCCCGUUGGGGUUUCUAGGCUCUAAAGUUUUGCAAGGUGUGGAGACAGCCACAGGCAUAAGGCAUCAAAAGUUGUAAACGUUACUUAUCUAACAUAAUAAUAUUACUUUCUUGUUUCUUUUUUAAGGAGGUCUUUUGUGCGUUAUGUGUUUUGCUUGCUUGACUACUGUUGCCCAUGUUUUCCUUUCUUUUGCUUGUUUUUCCCAUUCUCAUAUUCCUAGGUCUUUUAAAUCCUGGUUAAUACCAUCAAUCCAUCUCUUUCUAGGCCUACCUCUCGGUCUCUUCCAGUUUAUUAUUUUCUAAGUACUUUGUUGUAUUUCUCUUAUAAUCAUCCUUUCUACGUGUCCCAACCAACUCAGGUGUUUACUUUGUAUUUCUUUUAUGAUAGUCGUUCUGUUUAACACUCGUAUUUAUUUUGUGGUUCAUUCUUAUAUGCCAUUCUCCUGUACAGGUCCAUAUAUUUUUCUUUCUUAUCUAAGAAGUUGUUCUCCUUGUUCACUAGUCAAAGUCCAAGUCUGAUGCAUAUAUUACUACAGGCUAGAUGGUUCAGAUUUUUGAAAUAAAUAAAUGUUUUUUUAUAAUCUUUAUAUAUAACUUGGUUUUAGAGGGGGGCCAUUGUCAGUAGACCUAUUAUAAACAGCGAGACAUUUGACAGAUUUAAAGACAAACCAGGGUCAUUUGAAAAUGUUGCACUGGCUAAUUAAGAGGGAACCUAUAUAGGAUAUAGUAGAUGUAGAAAUCAUUGUAUUUUCCCAACAAUACCUGGAUUUAAAAAUUUCUGAAGUGAGAAUAGAAGAAAUAUGUGUGAAAACUGCUAACUUUCAACAAUUUCAGAAUUGUUUUGUGAGCCAUAAAUAGGAGUAGAUUCCCAACAUCCUUGUUUAAAACAUUAACAGAAUAUAAAGGCCAUAAAAUUUGGAAAAGAACAAAGAAGAGUCCAAAUCAUUGGUUAAUGAUAUGUUUUAUAGGGACUAUAUCAUAUAUUUUAAUGAAAGAAAAAAAUGAGUACUGAACACAAAGCACGAUUGUUACAACCAAAAUCAAGGCAACUUAUAAUUAAUAAAAAGGAAGGUGUGCCACCUAGUGAUCUGGAUGCCUUCAGAAUUGAUCAUAUAUGAUGUCGGUAUUGAAGAAUGCUGGGAACACAAUAUAAAAUUAUUAAAAACAUUUUAUUUGAAUAAAUAAGUAUACUUAUACCAUUUUUAUGUGGAAAUAAAGCACUUUAAAAUUA